GCCCCCGUAGCAUCACAUCAAAAUUGAUUUUAAAAAAAAUGUGUAAGUAAUAACUUACAGUUAAAUAUCGAUGUGUGCAAAAAUUUGGACAAUAACAAUACUAAAUAAUAUUAGGGCAAAGUGCCUUUGGCCUUUUUAGCAUUGAGGGUAUGUACUUAGGACAAGAACUUUAACUCCAUUUGCACCACAUCAUACAUGGCACUACUUCGGCAUGCCCCAUCAGGGCUAUGUAUAUACGUCAGCAUCAUUUAUGAAGCUAAAUUUCCUGUCCAUAAUUACAACAAAACAAAUAGCCUUAACACUCAACAGGCCAAAGUACAGAUAAUAAAGUGUACUUUGCCCAUAAUAUUAUCUUAAAUACGUCUUGGCUUCCAGCAGCUCAAACUCCAAUAUACACACAUAGACA
Molecule: unclassified non-coding RNA, 406 nt
Filed under: Hevea brasiliensis (rubber tree)
Lineage: Eukaryota; Viridiplantae; Streptophyta; Magnoliopsida; Malpighiales; Euphorbiaceae
Source: RNAcentral